GGAGAACUAAGGGAGGAAACAUUUCUUUGUGGCUAUUUGGUGAGAAUAAGCAGGGAGACUUUGAAGUUCCCUAGUUCAUUUACAUCACUGGGGUUUAAUCAGCUUACUCCACAUAGAAACGCUCACUUUAAAAUAUAAGCACGUAGGUGUACGAGCAUGUGAUGUAAGCCCACAACUUGCGUACACCCUACAGGUUCAAAUGAAAAUGAAUGAAAAUCUUCAUUCUUUUAAAAAAGAACAUAGCCUUGAUAGAAAAGAAAUAAAAGAAUUUUAAUAUGUUGCCAAGAAUAAAAUUUCAGUAAAUAGAUUAUUGCCAUUUAGGGGAAUAUUUCAGAGGACUCUUCUACGUGUUAUUAAUAGUUACAUAUGGCAUAAACACUGGGAAAAGUAUAGCUAUCUGUAAUUAUGUUUUCACAAACUAAUCUGGCUUAAUUAAAAAUGACAAUUUCUGUUCCUUUUUUUUAACAAGUUCCAUGGACAUCUUGAACACAAUUUCCUCAUUGGUUUUAAUGUAAACAUUGGCUUAAUAUUAGAAGGGAUGAACAAAAUGGGGAACUAGUAAGAGGGAAUUGGAGAUAUUGCAUUAUUUUGCCUGAAAAAUAGUUGCAACUAUUCUUAG
RNAcentral lists this long non-coding RNA (619 nucleotides) under Bos taurus (domestic cattle). RNAcentral describes it as "long non-coding RNA NONBTAT026884". The record is from RNAcentral. Lineage: Eukaryota; Metazoa; Chordata; Mammalia; Artiodactyla; Bovidae.